GUGAAACCGGUGAGGUGGAAACGGAUAGAGUCGGCGUAUCUUGCAAGUAUUCAUUUACAUUUUUAUCGUAUUGUAAUCUCUGAGCUCCAGAUUGGGACAGUUUUUACUUUAUUAUAAAAUUGAGAUGCAUUUGCUUGUUUGGUGCGUAGGGAUGUUUGAGAUAGAUUUGUGACCGCCGUUUUGAGGCCAGCUUGCUGGUACCCAAACUGUGUUAGCAUUUUUUAUCUUGGAUAUUUGAGUAUGGCUUACGGGCGUUUAUUGGUUCGAUCUGAGUGUAAGUUACGGUCGCAUGCGACACGUGCUUUUCAAUUAGUUCGGUCCAGUUAAUGCUCUCAUACUCUUUCCCUAUGUAAAAGCCGGUCAUCUAUCCGACCCGUCUUGAAACACGGACCAAGGAGUUUAUCGUGUGCGCAAGUUUUUGGGUGUUUUAAACCUAAAAGCGCAAUGAAAGUAAAUGUUCUCUUUCGAGACUGAUGUGCGAUAUUUUUUUUUCGAAAAAAUUGCAGCAUGGCCCCAUUCUAUCUGUUUACAGAAGGGUGGCGGAAGAGCGUACGCGGUGAGACCCGAAAGAUGGUGAACUAUUCCUGAGCAGGAUGAAGCCAGAGGAAACUCUGGUGGAAGUCCGAAGCGGUUCUGACGUGCAAAUCGAUCGUCUGACUUGGGUAUAGGGGCGAAAGACUAAUCGAACCAUC
Molecule: ribosomal RNA, 692 nt
Filed under: Meloidogyne marylandi
Lineage: Eukaryota; Metazoa; Nematoda; Chromadorea; Rhabditida; Meloidogynidae
Description: eukaryotic LSU rRNA
Rfam family: Eukaryotic large subunit ribosomal RNA
Source: RNAcentral